RNAcentral lists this ribosomal RNA (455 nucleotides) under Escherichia coli. Its description in RNAcentral is "bacterial SSU rRNA". It matches the Rfam family "Bacterial small subunit ribosomal RNA", at positions 1 to 452 of the family's 1533-position model. Lineage: Bacteria; Pseudomonadati; Pseudomonadota; Gammaproteobacteria; Enterobacterales; Enterobacteriaceae. The record is from RNAcentral.
AAAUUGAAGAGUUUGAUCAUGGCUCAGAUUGAACGCUGGCGGCAGGCCUAACACAUGCAAGUCGAACGGUAACAGGAAGAAGCUUGCUUCUUUGCUGACGAGUGGCGGACGGGUGAGUAAUGUCUGGGAAACUGCCUGAUGGAGGGGGAUAACUACUGGAAACGGUAGCUAAUACCGCAUAACGUCGCAAGACCAAAGAGGGGGACCUUCGGGCCUCUUGCCAUCGGAUGUGCCCAGAUGGGAUUAGCUAGUAGGUGGGGUAACGGCUCACCUAGGCGACGAUCCCUAGCUGGUCUGAGAGGAUGACCAGCCACACUGGAACUGAGACACGGUCCAGACUCCUACGGGAGGCAGCAGUGGGGAAUAUUGCACAAUGGGCGCAAGCCUGAUGCAGUCAUGCCGCGUGUAUGAAGAAGGCCUUCGGGUUGUAAAGUACUUUCAGCGGGGAGGAAGGG